GGGUGGCCUAGUGGUUAGAGUGUAGAGGUGGCAGGGUAGCCUAGUGGUUAGAGUGUAGAGGUGGCAGGGUAGCCUAGUGGUUAGAGUGUAGAGGUGGCAGGGUAGCCUAGUGGUUAGAGUGUAGAGGUGGCAGGGUAGCCUAGUGGUUAGAGUGUAGAGGUGGCAGGGUAGCCUAGUGGUUAGAGUGUAGAGGUGGCAGGGUAGCCUAGUGGUUAGAGUGUAGAGGUGGCAGGGUAGCCUAGUGGUUAGAGUGUAGAGGUGGCAGGGUAGCCUAGUGGUUAGAGUGUAGAGGUGGCAGGGUGGCCUAGUGGUUAGAGUGUAGAGGUGGCAGGGUAGCCUAGUGGUUAGAGUGUAGAGGUGGCAGGGUGGCCUAGUGGUUAGAGUGUAGAGGUGGCAGGGUGGCCUAGUGGUUAGAGUGUAGAGGUGGCAGGGUAGCCUAGUGGUUAGAGUGUAGAGGUGGCAGGGUGGCCUAGUGGUUAGAGUGUAGAGGUGGCAGGGUAGCCUAGUGGUUAGAGUGUAGAGGUGGCAGGGUAGCCUAGUGGUUAGAGUGUAGAGGUGGCAGGGUAGCCUAGUGGUUAGAGUGUAGAGGUGGCAGGUAGCCUAGUGGUUAGAGUGUAGAGGUGGCAGGGUAGCCUAGUGGUUAGAGUGUAGAGGUGGCAGGGUAGCCUAGUGGUUAGAGUGUAGAGGUGGCAGGGUAGCCUAGUGGUUAGAGUGUAGAGGUGGCAGGGUGGCCUAGUGGUUAGAGUGUAGAGGUGGCAGGGUAGCCUAGUGGUUAGAGUGUAGAGGUGGCAGGGUAGCCUAGUGGUUAGAGUGUAGAGGUGGCAGGUAGCCUAGUGGUUAGAGUGUAGAGGUGGCAGGUAGCCUAGUGGUUAGAGUGUAGAGGUGGCAGGGUAGCCUAGUGGUUAGAGUGUAGAGGCGGCAGGGUAGCCUAGUGGUUAGAGUGUAGAGGCGGCAGGUAGCCUAGUGGUUAGAGUGUAGAGGUGGCAGGGUGGCCUAGUGGU
Molecule: long non-coding RNA, 1001 nt
Organism: Oncorhynchus keta (chum salmon)
Lineage: Eukaryota; Metazoa; Chordata; Actinopteri; Salmoniformes; Salmonidae
Exons: 3
Source: RefSeq, a predicted model, not a curated record